AACGAACGCUGGCGGUAUGCCUAACACAUGUAAGUCGAACGAGACCUUCGGAACUAGUGGCGCAUGGGUGCGUAACGUGUGGGAACCUGCCGUUAGAUUCGGAAUUAUACUCCUUCAUGGGUGCUAAUAUCGGAUAAUGUACUCGGAUAACAGAUUGAACGCCCUUGUGUGGGCCCGCGUUGUUUUAGCCGGUUGGUAUGGUAAAAGCCUACGAAGGCGACGAUCCAUAGCUGGUCUGAGAGGCUGAGCAGCCACACUUGGACUAAGACACGGCGCAGACUCCUGCAGGAUGCAGCAGUGGGGAAUAUAGGAAUAUCGGCGAAAGCCUGAUCCAGCAAUGCCGCGUGAGUGAUGAAGGCCUUAGGGUUGUAAAGCACUUUUACACGGGAUGAUAAUGACAGUACCGAGAGAAUAAGCUCCGGCUAACUCCGUG
RNAcentral lists this ribosomal RNA (433 nucleotides) under uncultured bacterium. RNAcentral describes it as "partial 16S ribosomal RNA". It matches the Rfam family "Bacterial small subunit ribosomal RNA", at positions 29 to 507 of the family's 1533-position model. The record is from RNAcentral.